UCUGCUCAUGCUUUCUCUCUCUCUCAAAUAAAUAAAUAAAAUCUUAAAAAGAAAAAAAAAAAAAGGCAGCCGCUGCCAAAGGCUCUGCACCAUUGAUCUCUAAACAGAACUGAGAUCCUUCACUGUUUGAACAAAAUAAUCAGUUAAGUGCCAAGACCCGACCGGGACUGGACUGAAACCUUAUCUCAACUGCAUGACCGUAGACUGACUUCGCUUUUGGUCUGUUAACCCCCUCUGUUACCCUGUUGCGUGACUUGUCUUAGGUUCUGCUCUCUGUGCUGCCUAAGAAGCCAAGUGAAUCCCGUGGCAAAAUGUCAUUGACUUUGGACCCCUGAACCUGCUUGAUCAUUAUGUUCACCGCGCUCUAAUGCUGAACAAAGCUGACGUUGUGGAAAGGCACAACGCCGUUUGUGUCCCUUCAUUGUGGGCUCGUAACAUCGUUCAUUUAAUUCCAUCUGUAGAUCUAGAAAGGUUCUUACUCUUGCAAUGGCUCUUUUCUAUAUACACAUUUAAAGUCAUGCCCAUGAAUGUUCCUCCACGUGAAAAAGCCCACACCCACAGCUGUCACUUAGACCUGGGGUUUGCUCGUAAGGUUUUCUAUUCAUGCGUUCCUCCUACCUGUUCCUCGAUUUUGUCACCAGCUAACAGUUAAGUUUAAGGGGAGAUUUGGAAGGAAAGUUGCAAAUAGGAAAGCUUCACCUUUCCUUUAUUGUUUAUAGUCAGUGUUCAGUAGUCAAGAAAUACAGAUAUAUUUGUGUUUCUGGUGGUUUGGAAGCCCUGCGACUGAGCAAAUUCCUUUCCUCUUACUGUAUCUCACCUUCGCUUCCGCAACACGAGAAGCCCGAGUCACCUGACUUGAGGGUCCUUCUGUUCCUUGGGUUUCCUUGGAAAUCUCAAGUCUGAGAGUGACUUCUACAACUGUCAUCCCCCCUCAGAAAUUUCUGUCUCUGGUGGUUCAGGACCAGAACACACAAUGUAGUUCAUCACGAUGGAGAGGACCCCACUUCUGUGGGAAUGGAUUACUUCUUCCAACUGAACAUGGAGACCCAGUGUUGAAGAACUCUGGUGGUUUCUUCUCCAUCUUUGGAAAUAGAACGAUAGGGAAGAAUCUGGAGCCUCGCUUCAGUUUAGCUGGAAUCUUCUCUUACACCACCAUUAAAGGUGCACUGCAAGGACAAGAGGUUUGUGUAAUGUCCUACCAAGGCCUGACCAGGAAACAUAUCUAUAGCCUCGUGGGUGGAGCCUUUGACAGAGCCCAAGUCGUUCACACUCCGGGGCCCCCCAGGACUGAAGAGAGGAGGAGGAUGGGCUGGAUGCCACUUCCCUGAGGGCGAGGUAGUGUCUACGUCCUCCAUACCCCACAAAGCCCGUGUCCCCCAGCCCGCUGGGUGGGCUUUACCGGAACAUGUCAGGGGUCUUCUCUAGCCUCAGUCUCAUCACCAGGUUUUUGUUACCAUUCAUCUCAUCUUCUUGACUUUUU
This is a long non-coding RNA of Mustela erminea (ermine), 1480 nucleotides long. RefSeq lists it as uncharacterized. The record is from RefSeq and is a predicted model, not a curated record. Lineage: Eukaryota; Metazoa; Chordata; Mammalia; Carnivora; Mustelidae. The transcript is spliced from 3 exons.